GACGAACGCUGGCGGCGUGCCUAAUACAUGCAAGUAGAACGCUGAAGGAGGAGCUUGCUUCUCCGGAUGAGUUGCGAACGGGUGAGUAACGCGUAGGUAACCUGCCUGGUAGUGGGGGAUAACUAUUGGAAACGAUAGCUAAUACCGCAUAAUAGCAGUUGUUGCAUGAUAACUGUUUGAAAGGUGCAAUUGCACCGCUACCAGAUGGACCUGCGUUGUAUUAGCUAGUUGGUGGGGUAACGGCUCACCAAGGCGACGAUACAUAGCCGACCUGAGAGGGUGAUCGGCCACACUGGGACUGAGACACGGCCCAGACUCCUACGGGAGGCAGCAGUAGGGAAUCUUCGGCAAUGGACGGAAGUCUGAACGAGCAACGCCGCGGGAGUGAAGAAGGGUUUCGGAUCGUAAAGCUCUGUUGUAAGAGAAGAACGAGUGUGAGAGUGGAAAGUUCACACUGUGACGGUAUCUUACCAGAAAGGGACGGCUAACUACGUG
This 495-nucleotide ribosomal RNA is filed under the name uncultured bacterium. RNAcentral's name for it is "partial 16S ribosomal RNA". It matches the Rfam family "Bacterial small subunit ribosomal RNA", at positions 28 to 507 of the family's 1533-position model. The record is from RNAcentral.